This 25-nucleotide transfer RNA is filed under the name Kikihia cutora exulis. RNAcentral's name for it is "partial tRNA-Asx". The record is from RNAcentral. Lineage: Eukaryota; Metazoa; Arthropoda; Insecta; Hemiptera; Cicadidae.
AUUUAUGAAACUUUUGAGUAUUUUU